CAUCACAAGGGAACAACUGGUCAUGUUCCAUGACCUUGGCUAUCCAGCAUCCAAAAUUGCAUCUCUCCUUGGCUGUUCCAAGUCAUUAGUCUACAAGCGUCUGCAUUCCGAGGGCAUUUAUCAGUCAAGACGGUAUUCUGAUAUCUCAAAUGAUGAAAUUGAUGCUGAAUUAAGUAGCAAAGAUUCAUGAACGCCAUCUCAAUGCUGGAUCACUGAUAUUGGCUGGAUAUCUUGAAGGAAAAGGCAUAUGUGUGCUACGUAGAAGGGUGUGAGGUCAUUAAGCUACAGUAUAGAUCCUUCAGGGGAAAGGAUGAGUAGGUCAAUUGCGAGAAGACAAUAUUUUGUCAAUGGACUAAAUUCCUUAUGGCACAUAGAUGGCCACAUGAAGUCGAUAAGAUGAGGUAUUGUCACUCAUGGUGGUACCUAAGACAGGUGGUAUACUUGUCUCGUAGCAAGAAUAACAAGUCAUUGACUGUUCUGGAAAAGUUUGUUGCUGCCUUCAAACGAUAUGGUGUGCCUGGAAAAUUAAGAUGCUACCAUGGACGUGAACAUAUUCACAUCGGCAUGUUCAUGAAUAUGAUCAAUGGUUUGGAU
Pecten maximus is the source of this 594-nucleotide long non-coding RNA. RefSeq lists it as uncharacterized. The transcript is spliced from 3 exons. The record is from RefSeq and is a predicted model, not a curated record. NCBI's taxonomy places the organism in Eukaryota, Metazoa, Mollusca, Bivalvia, Pectinida, Pectinidae.